CCCUUAGAUGUUCUGGGCCGCACGCGCGCUACACUGACGAAUGCAACGAGCUUAUAACCUUGGCCGAAAGGUCUGGGUAAUCUCCAAAUUUCGUCGUGAUGGGGAUAGAUUAUUGCAAUUAUUAAUCUUCAACGAGGAAUGCCUAGUAAGCGCAAGUCAUCAGCUUGCGUUGAUUACGUCCCUGCCCUUUGUACACACCGCCCGUCGCUCCUACCGAUUGAGUGCUCAGGUGAAUAAUUCGGACUGCAGCAGUGUUUGGAUCCCGAACGCUGCAGCGGAAAGUUUAGUGAACCUUAUCACUUAGAGGAAGGAGAANUCGUANCA
This 324-nucleotide ribosomal RNA is filed under the name uncultured eukaryote. Its description in RNAcentral is "partial 18S ribosomal RNA". It matches the Rfam family "Eukaryotic small subunit ribosomal RNA", at positions 1470 to 1796 of the family's 1831-position model. The record is from RNAcentral.